Molecule: long non-coding RNA, 8277 nt
Organism: Tachysurus fulvidraco (yellow catfish)
Lineage: Eukaryota; Metazoa; Chordata; Actinopteri; Siluriformes; Bagridae
Exons: 3
Source: RefSeq, a predicted model, not a curated record
UGUGUGUGUGUUGAUGUUUACUGUAUACACGUGGGUGCCGUAUUUUGAGCAAGGGUCACGGUACAGCAUGCAGUUCAGAGAAACCGAGCAAUGGUCACAAUGCUCGCAGUUAGCUCAGAUAUCUGAUAGUGUCUGCUCUUCUGACUGUGUCAGCAUUGCAAAAUGCUGACCUUAGCAUGGCUCUUUCUAACAUAGCCGAGGCUGAUGCAUCAGAGAGUAUGAAAACUCCUGACCUAUAGAGUCAGCAUAUAUUUGCAUUGGUCCUUGGCUCUGUGCAAAAACAACAUACUUGCAUAAUAACAUGUCUGUUGAAAUACAAAGGCAUAAUGCCAUAAUGGGUCAGAAUGGAGAAACAUGAUCAGUAGACCUUUUCAUCAACACUUUCGGCCACAUGGGAGAGUACUAUAGCUGUAACCCGUGACAUCUCUGAACCCUGGCACCAAAAACUGGCCUGGACACACCGCUGCCUUUCAUAUCUGAUUCUAUAAAAAGCAGUAAUCAUACUAUGAGACUGUGAGAUUUAUGUAGUAUAUUAUAAUCACUUUUUUUUUAAAUCUGAUAUAAUGACGUUUGAGUAAUCAGCACAUGUGUAAUGGUUACUGUCUGCUGAGAUUCUCUAUUCACUCAGUGACUACACUAAAUUACCUUUAUGUAUGAAUUUGUCUGUGUGUGUAUGAGUGUAUGGUGCUAUGUCUGGUUUCUCUACCAGGGUGUCUGCCUGUGUCACACCCAGUGACUCUUAAGAUCGCCUCCAGAUCCACCGCCACCCUGAGCAGGAUAAAGCAGUUACUGAAGAUGAAUCAUAUUGCAAUUAUUGCUUUUUACCGUUCGUAAUAUUUACAGUACCCAAGUACUUUUGGUUUGGCGAUCAAUAGAUGACAAUGAGACAAAAGAUCCAAAAUAAUGUAAGACAUGACUGACAGGUGUUUCUUGUUAUCCAGGUGUGUCCUGUAAAAUUAAUUCUGUGGUCCAGGUUUGAUCUGUGAAGAAUGCAUUUGUUGUUAAAGAAAUGUCUAAAUUAAUACUGUAUGAAUUCUAGAGAUCAGUCACUUUAAAGUUUUAAAAAAGAGAAAUCAGUCGGUGCCUUUGCACAAGCACUGAGCAUAGCCAGUACAAAAAUGUACUGAAAUGACCUCAAAAUGAAAGAGACCACUGGUAUGUUAACAACUAGACAAUGCCCAGGAAAACAACAGCAGUUGCAAACAUUGUGAGAGCUACUGUAUGAAGAGAAAAACCUAUAAACAGCCAUUGACAUCAUCAAUUACUGUACCUCCACAGGUCAGGGGUUAAAACUUUGAGAGCAGAGCAGAAAAAGCAAGAUGCAAACUGUUCAUCAGAAUUAAUAACCACAAAGCCACACUGGAAUUUGCAAAGAAAUACAGAGACAGAAAGACCAAAGUGUAAGCAAGAAAGUGUCCAGAAGUGAUUCCUUUCAUUUUUGUUUUAACCAAUAAAAUAACAGCCAUGUUGACUUCAAACAAACAAAAAAAAAAACAACGCAUAGUGACUGUAGCAUAAUAAUAUGUCAUACAGUACCUCACAUCCUCCCACCCUGAAAAAACAUAUAUAGUCAACCUGAUGAGCUAAAAAUAGUGAUGCCAUACAAGAUGCCUUGGUCAGUUCAUGUUGAUUUACCAUCACGUGUAAGGAUUUAGGUGAAGAUGAGUUGCUCGGCAACCACGUGCACGAGUGAGGAGUGGGAGUGCGCACUAACUAGGCGGAAUGACGCAAAACGGCAUUAUUUGUCGCCGGCCAAUUCUAAAUGACAGCUGCGCUACAAAUCCUCUAAUGUAUCCUCUCAUCCCUCACAAAGCUGAGUGCUCCCGAUUAACAGCAAAGGAAAGGGGGUGUCACAGUAAUGCUAGCCUGAUCGAGGGACAUGCUCCAGCAGAAAGAACAUUUGGAAUCAUAUAUAAGUGUGCCACAAAUACAAAAGCAAAAGGGAAAAGGCAACAAAAUCAGCUUGACCUUUACAUUAUGCUAUACAACAAACAGUGCAAGACUUGACCUUUCCUACGUUUACAAUGCUCCCAAAACCCUCCCAAGUUUUGAAACCAUCAGGACCUAAAGAUCAGCUAAACACAGAGCAGUCACAUGUUUAUAUCACAAACAUUUUCCUAUUUGCAGUGGACCAAGCAACCACAACUGUGACUGUUGAGAAAAUUCAAAUUAGUGACUACAAAACAGCACUGUGGGCAAAAAAAACCCAAGCAUGCCACUUUCCCUCCUUGCUUCCUGAAAGUAAUAAACUUGCUGACUUUGAUCAUUUACUGAUAUACACUGCUAGACGUCUUACACAUUUUCAUGGGCCGACUGAUGUGUGUGGCAGAUUGCAGUGCUCUCAAAGGUUGCCAGGUGGGACAAAACCACCUCAGAAAUGUACAUAGGUGAAUUUAACCAAUGCAAUUUUACACACUGAUUUUCUAAAAUCAUCUCUUAAACAAAAUGACUACAACUGCCAUACAAAUCGUACAACAAAUCAGCAUCAUAUUAUGUUUUAAUUGAAACAAUGGCAUUUUUAGUAACGGUUCUAGUAAGAUGAUAUAAAAACAAACCAGUCCACAUUUACUUUAAUCAUUUCCACACUUUUUAAAGGGGAUUUCAACAGAUUUUGGAACAUGUGGAAUUGUGGGCAUUUAGCUACAAGAGCAUUACUAAGGUGGAACACUGACACCAUGAUAAUUGGUUUAUUGUAAAGUGUUAAAAUGUAUUGCAAAUUUAGCAUACUAUGUCUUCAUGGAGCUCAUGUCACUUUGUACACAGGGGCAUUGUCAUGCUGGAAUAGCUUUGUGUGUGUUUGUGUGUGUGUUAUAGACUAUGCCUUUACUGUAUGGAUAAAAAAAACUACAGCUUACCUAUUUGCCUUUCAAAUUCAGUAUUUUAUUAAAUUGGGCAUGUGCCCGCUAUAUGCCACCAAAAACAACAAACGAGCAAAGAAAGAAAAGAAAAAAAAAAAAAAAAAACAUACAAACAAAAGUGAAUUACAAUGCUGUGGUCACACCUAGUGUACUUUAGCAGAUUUGUGCAAUUUCAAUGUCACCAUAGCAACAACUGAAGAUGAUACCAGCCACCUUGCAUACCUGACAAUCCCCCAUGUUCACUUGUUGCUAUGGUAAAUACUUUAAUGAAGCACUUCCAAAAGCAGGUUAUUAAGCUGAGUAUUUUCACUCAGAAGCAGCUCAGCGAUGAGUCACGGUGUUCUCUGGAAGGAGGCGCCAUCUUGGGAGGAUUAACAAAGUACCCCCCACACACAAAACCAUUAAGGCUAAGUCUACUUGGAUGAUGUCAUACAAAGAGUACAUAGAUCAGGGGUUCCCAAAAUUAUUUGCUUGUUGAACGUCUUAAUUCUUCAACCUACCUGAUACUUUAACUAGACUAACCUUUUAAAUGUUUCCAAUUCAGUUUGUAGAAUAUUUGUAUCUGUAUACUGUAUAUUUGUACUUGCAUUAGGCCAAAUUUGCAUUACAACUUUAUGUACUGAAAUAUUUGGACUUUAAUUGCAGACUUUCAGCUUUAAUUUAAGGUAUUUACAUUCAAAUCAGAUGAACUGUUUAGGAAUUGCAGCAUGUUUUAUUUGUGGUUCCCUCUUUUCAAGGCACCAAAAGUAAUUGGACAUCUGGCUGCUCAGUUAUUCCAUUUCCAGGCCUCCACAAGCAGCUGUGUAGCAUCAUGGAAAACUCACUGAACUCAUCAGUUCAUAUCCAGUCAGCAGAAUGUGGUACAUCGGUCUGAGUAGCACUCAUAUUCUAACAGACAAAUUGAUAUUGAUUGAAUUUAAAGUAAUACUGAACCUGUUUUUUUUUGUUGUUGUUGUUUUUGUUUUAUUUAACUAUUUCACAUCAUGUUCUGUCGCUUUUUUUUAACGUAUGCAUUCUAUUCAGUUGCUAAAUAUAAUCAUUUCAUUGCUAUUUACUAUUUUAUUGCUUGUUACUAUUUUUAGAGUUUUGCUGCUAGGUGAAUGUCAUCUCAUCUUUCUGCGCUAACUGAAACAGCUCUGGACUUGGCGUUCAUGUUUGGCCAGCACAGACAAAAUCUUUGCAAGAAUGAAUCAGGGCAAAAAUGAGCUGACAAGCUUAAUGUGAUUUAUAUCUUGUUACUGAGCUAGAGGAUUUUCUACAGAAGGGUAAAUAGAAGGCUGUCAGAAAAAAUAGGCUUUGUGUUGCUGCUAUUUACAAAGACCAUUGUCUUGACUGUAAAGCAAAUAGCACAUAUGGAAAUGUCAUGUAGUAUUUAAAUCCAUCAAUGAACUAAUUUUCCUAAUGUUAUACUCACACUAAGAAGUCACUGGUCACUUGCUGCUGCGUAACAGCCACUUAAAAGAUACUGAAUGAGCAAUUUGCCAUUACAGUCUAAAUAUAUAAAUAUACGAAAUUUAAUUCAUGUCGUGUAAUUGAAUUGCUUCAAAUUCAAAUUGUAUAAAAUGGUUUGAACUUCAGAUUCAAAUAUUCAGAACACUACAAGCGGGGAAAACAAAGGAGGAUUAAAAUCCUCAUCAUUUCAACUAUGGAUCCAACAAUGUUAAGAACGUUUGAUUAUUCUGAAAUUGAAAGUGAAUUUUAAAAAGCACACAGACGUCCAGCCAACCUCAACACCUGCACAGAUUAAUUAACCCGUUUAUGCAAAUCCUUAGCAAAUUUCAACAUAGAAUGUCACAUCUGUCUCUGUUGAACUUAAAAAAAUGCUUGUGUCUGGUCAUGUUCAGUAAAAUUAAAUUGGUAAUUAAAAAAAAGUAAUUAAUUGCAGGUUGGACCAAAGGUUUUCUGUGGAGAACUGAAGCAAUGCUUGACCAACAAUAUACACACCAUAGUACUGGUCUGAAUACACAGUAAAGCCAGUUGCUUGGAUUAGACACAUCACUGUCUUGCAACUAGUUUGCAUAGAAUUUAGAAAAUCUCGCAUAAAUGUCACUUUCCUCGUCAUCACCAAAAUCACUUCUCACGUUAACUAGAAAAUGAAUGGUCAUCUACCGUUUUUUUUGCCUGUUAGUCUAAACAUAGGUUAAUAAGGGCUUCUAUAAGACUGUGCUAAACUAGAGGAAGGAUUUUUCUUUACAGAACUUCACCUGCAACACAAUAAUAAUUCAGUCUUCUGCAGUUUAGUCGUUGCAUUUCAUCAUUUUCUGAUCUAUGAAAAAAGGUGAAAAAGGAGACACCUGAAAUGUGAACUUUUUUUUCUUUUUAUCUAACGUCAACUCAAAUGCAAAUAAAAGUCACUCGGCAGAAAAGCAAAUGACCGAAAGGGAUUGCACAUGGGCCGUGAAAGACAUGGUAGCUUUCACUUUGCCAUGACCUUGUCUAGGUGAACUUUAACCUGGGAAGUUGAGAACUUCCUUGUUGAGUGCCAGUAAACAACAGAACUCCGAAGGUCAGUAUUCUGUGUUGCUGCAUCACUAAAUUAUGGCAUCACGGAAUUUAAUAUUAUGGAAUUUAUUCAAUAACAAAAGCACGAGAUAAAAUAUCUUGUGCAGCAUAAUUUUAUAUAUUUUAUAUAUUUUAUAUAUUUUUAGUUGUCACAUCUGAGAAUUUCUAAAAUUUAGAUGGUCAUUUAUAAUAUUGCAUUUGUAAGCUUUUAUAUAAGAUCUAGUGGCUGAGCAGUUUGUAUUUCGAGCUAAUAGUUCCUCCUGGGUCUUCAGAACAUACUAUUCAUGAUUCAGCUCUGGAGUGAGAGCACUGUUGUAGUCAGGGAACUUGAAUAUGCAUGAAUGGAAAUGAAUAUAAUGAAAGAUUAGUGCUGUGUGCAAGUCACAGAAUUUCUUCCACUCCAUGCCGUAGCAUGGAUCUUAAUGGAGACAGCUUUGUGCACAGGUGCAUUAUCAUGCAGGAACAUGUUUGGGCCGCUUAGUUCCAGUGAAGUAAAUUAUUCAUGCUACAGCAUACAAAUGUGUGCUUCUAAAUUUGUGGCAACAGUUUUGAGGAAAACCUCACAUGUUUCCCCAAAAUGUUUGGACUUAUAGUGUAUGUUUUUGAUUAGAUACAUAUAUUGUAAUCUUAUUUUUACAUCUAGACAAGAUUUUUAAGCUAUUGUUACAUCUCCCUGUGAAAGUCUCAGUUCUUUAGAAAGACAUGUGAUGCAUGUGACCCCAUAUAGUACACAGAUAUCCAGCCAUUUAUCCAGCCAACAGCAGCACCUGCCUAGAUGAGUUAACCUGUCUAUGCAAAUCCUCAGCAUAUUGCAACAGGAUGUCACAUUUGUCUUUGUUGGACUCUGGAACUGGUCGUGUCUAGUCAUGUACAAUACCUCCAGCUUAUAGUCAUAUAGAUCUUAAGCAAAAUGACUUCAUUUGAAUUCCACACAAAUCUUAUUUCCGAUCUUAUUAAAAUGCACAUGGUUGUUAAUAUUCCUUCAGCAGGACAGAUAGGAAUCUUUUCUUUUGAGGUUCGAUAUACAGCUGCCAUACCUCCUAAGAAAUGGGGACUAGAUCAUACUGUACAUGUAGAACAGUGUGCAGAAUGCUGACCUCCUUAUUCUACUUCAUUCAGCCUAAAGUAAAUCUGUACUCUAGAUAUCUACAAAUCAACUACACUGUAUUCAUACACGAAGCUACAUGACAUUCCUCACCUUCUUAAUUCAGUUGACCUUUAGGUUACCAGAAAAGCCUCCACUUUCCCUUUCUAACAAUUGUCUCCGGCCUUAGCCCAUCCCUUAACCCAUCCCUUUGCUGAAGAGUGGAUCUGAAAAUACCUUCCCGCUGUAUAAACUACUUGUCUUGAUUACUCUGUCCUCUCUCCUUCAAAUCAGCCCUUUCAGUAUCCUCCAUUCUCUGGUUUUCAUAAAAUUGGACUAUGAACUUUCUGCUCUUCUAGUUAUUACAAUUGCUGUGACAAAAAUAACAAUACUGAAACUCUAAACUUCCUUCAGCUCCACCAUUUACUUCUGCCAAGGAUAGUUUCUUUGAAGUUAAGGUACCAGUAAUUGGCAGAUGAUCAUUACAACAUCCUCCCUCUACAGUAGGCCUUCUUCUGCACAUCAUCUUCAUUUAGUUCUUUGCAUUCCUUUACAGUGAAUGAAGCUUUAUCCAGUGAGGCUUCCAAAUAUCUGUUGGAUCUUUGUUUCCUCCUUGCAGUCAUGUUGUCAGUCAUCUGCCUCCUCAGUAAUCAUUUACACUAAUGAAGUACUAGAUCCAAACCCAGCCUCAAGUGCGCACCAAGACUAUCCUUCUGUUGUGAACGCUCUCUGGAAGCUCUCAUAUAUUACUUUUUUUUUUUUUUUUUUUUUUUACCUCUGGAUGCAUCUCCAGUUUUCAGUAGCUUCCAGAUGAUCCUGGACACUAUGUUCAAUAUUUUACUCACAGGACAGCAAAGAUCUACUACUCUUAAAAGAUCUACUCUAACCCUCAGGAUGAUCUUAUAGGCUAUCAUGAAUUGGUAAAGAGUCCAAGCAGCAUCAGUCAACAAAAAAUAAUCCUCAAAGAUUUGUACUUGGCCCAUGUAACUGUGCAGUAUUUUGUUAGGAACAGUCAGCCACAUUCACAGCUUCUCUCAUCAUUGCUGUACUAUAAUACUCAGCUCUCUCUGUCCUUCACCUUUUAGGACAUUGCAGUUUCAGUAUGCAUUUCAGCUUACAUGAUUUACAAUGUUUGCAGUUCUGCUUGUUCAUAUUUAGCAUGGAUGAGGGUUCACCACCUGUAAUUCAGUUCGACACCACAUUACUGUUUAACACAUACUGUCAUUAUUCUAAUUAAGAACUGUUACUUUGGGUUUCCAGUAACAGUGUUGCCUGCCCAGUCUACUUUAUGGCACUUUGCAGGUUUGCUUAUAAUAUCAGGAAAAUCAAGCUGUACCUGUCAUAUAUAAUACGUUAUAAAACUCUAGGCAUUUGCUGCAGCUCUGCUCUUCUGUUGCCGCAGCUCUGCUCUUCUGGCUGGCUUAUGACUUUGCAUUAUUAAGCCAUAACAACUUAUUAAAAAUUGGGUGCUACAUCUAGACUUCCAUCAGCCAAAAUGUUUUUUUCUUACUACACUAAAUGGACACUAGUAACUACAUGUGACAUAUAUAUUGCAGAAUGAUGUGACCACCCAUGACUUUACUGACUUUAGAGUAAAAUUUACAUGGGUCUAUGUUCCAACCUAUACCCUGAUAGUACAUGAAUGAAUUGUAUCUGUUGAAACUAUCACUUUGGGGCCAAACCAAAUUUUUCUUCUUCAUGGUUCUAUGAUGUUGGUUUUAUGGUGGUCACAUCAUUCUGCAAUAUAUAUGUCACAUGUAGUUACUAGUGUCCAUUUAGUGUAGUAGUUUGUAAAGUGGGGGGCACGGUGGCUUAGUGGUUAGCAUGUUUGCC